UGUGGGAGCUGGCUUGCCUGCGAUAGCGGUAUGUCAGCCAACCCAUCUGUAACUGACCUGCAGCUAUCGCAGGCAAGCCAGCUCCCACA
RNAcentral lists this unclassified non-coding RNA (89 nucleotides) under Pseudomonas cedrina. Lineage: Bacteria; Pseudomonadati; Pseudomonadota; Gammaproteobacteria; Pseudomonadales; Pseudomonadaceae. The record is from RNAcentral.